RNAcentral lists this ribosomal RNA (506 nucleotides) under uncultured bacterium. RNAcentral describes it as "partial 16S ribosomal RNA". It matches the Rfam family "Bacterial small subunit ribosomal RNA", at positions 28 to 523 of the family's 1533-position model. The record is from RNAcentral.
GAUGAACGCUAGCUACAGGCUUAACACAUGCAAGUCGAGGGGUAACGAGAGGAAAGCUUGCUUUCCUUGUCGACGACCGGCGCACGGGUGAGUAACGCGUAUCCAACCUGCCCCCAACUAGGGAAUAACCUUGCGAAAGUAAGACUAAUACCCUAUAAUUUCCUCAGAUGUCAUCUGACGAGGAAUAAAGAUUUAUCGGUUGUGGAUGGGGAUGCGUCUGAUUAGCUUGUUGGCGGGGUAACGGCCCACCAAGGCAACGAUCAGUAGGGGUUCUGAGAGGAAGGUCCCCCACAUUGGAACUGAGACACGGUCCAAACUCCUACGGGAGGCAGCAGUGAGGAAUAUUGGUCAAUGGGCGGAAGCCUGAACCAGCCAAGUAGCGUGCAGGAUGAUGGCCCUAUGGGUUGUAAACUGCUUUUAUACAGGAAUAAAGUUAGCCACGUGUGGUUAUUUGUAGGUACUGUAUGAAUAAGGACCGGCUAAUUCCGUGCCAGCCGCCGCGGUAA